CAGCCGCCGCGGUAAUACGGAGGGUGCAAGCGUUAAUCGGAAUUACUGGGCGUAAAGCGCACGCAGGCGGUCUGACAAGUCAGAUGUGAAAUCCCCGGGCUUAACCUGGGAACUGCAUUUGAAACUGUCAGGCUGGAGUCUUGUAGAGGGGGGUGGAAUUCCAGGUGUAGCGGUGAAAUGCGUAGAGAUCUGGAGGAAUACCGGUGGCGAAGGCGGCCCCCUGGACAAAGACUGACGCUCAGGUGCGAAAGCGUGGGGAGCAAACAGGAUUAGAUACCCCCUGUAGUCCCUGUCUCUUAUA
This 301-nucleotide ribosomal RNA is filed under the name uncultured bacterium. RNAcentral describes it as "partial 16S ribosomal RNA". It matches the Rfam family "Bacterial small subunit ribosomal RNA", at positions 509 to 808 of the family's 1533-position model. The record is from RNAcentral.